RNAcentral lists this ribosomal RNA (237 nucleotides) under uncultured bacterium. RNAcentral describes it as "partial 16S ribosomal RNA". It matches the Rfam family "Bacterial small subunit ribosomal RNA", at positions 118 to 353 of the family's 1533-position model. The record is from RNAcentral.
UAUCCAACCUGCCGUCUACUCUUGGACAGCCUUCUGAAGGAAGAUUAAUACAAGAUGGCAUCAUGAGUCCGCAUGUUCACAUGAUUAAAGGUAUUCCGGUAGACGAUGGGGAUGCGUUCCAUUAGAUAGUAGGCGGGGUAACGGGCCCACCUAGUCUUCGAUGGAUAGGGGUUCUGAGAGGAAGGUCCCCCACAUUGGAACUGAGACACGGUCCAAACUCCUACGGGAGGCAGCAUG